AUCUGAUCCCUAGUUCUCCAUACUGUGUGAUUGGUGUGCAAUCUUACCACCUUUUCCUCAUUGCAAAUAAGAAAGGAAAAAAAGGCAUCACAAGAAGCACAUUGCAAAAAUUGUACCUCAUCACCACAUGAGAAGGCAGUGAAUGAGGUUUGUAUAAUCAGCUUUGAACAACUUCAUCUUCAAAUGCAGAAGAGGUUGCUGAUACCAUGCUAUGCUUUUGAGUGGAGGACAAGGAGCCUGUGGCUGACCUGCAGGGUAACUGCAAUAAAAAAGGUAGGAUAAUAUUCUGAGAAGUGGGAUAAUAUUCUGAGAAGUGGGAUUCUCAAAGCUGACAGGUAAGGGAAAAGGAAGAUGGAGACAAGGGUGUGUGAGAAGCAGUUUUGCCGUGAGCCUCUGAGCAUCCUGGGGAGCAGCACAUCUCAGGUGUGUUUGCCUUGGCUUUCACUGGGUUUCUCCAAAUGUUCCCUAGUCCCAACUAACAUUAACCCUCCCUCCUUUAAAGACAGGAUAUUUGGGCUAGGUCUGCUGCUGAGGAAGGGGAGACCACCCCUGGGAAUGCAAACAGUGGCACAGUGUGGUAGUGUGGGUGCUGCAGCCUGUUCCAGAGCAUCCUGGUGGCUGACUUCUCCCUGCAUGCCUCAGAGCCUGGGGAGGAAGAGGAGACCAUGGAGCAGCAUGUGAGAUGAGAAAGCUGCUGGUUGCCACUGAGCUUUUUGAGACACUGCUUUAAUCAUGGCAUAGUUAUACAGCAGAGGUAUAUGGCCAUACCCUUAUAAUUAAUUAUGUGACUUAAUGAAUAAUUCUCCUGCCCUAUCAUUCUGUCUAGAACACAAGGAAGUUAAAACUUUUCAAUGUGCUUAGAAACAUCUAAUCUGAGGACCCCUUCAGUGACCAUCAGCACAGCCCCUGGUUUUCAUCACCCUGAGUAAAGAACAGUCUGAAGAUGAUGACAAUUUGCCAGUCCCAGUGUGUAACACUACUUCUAAUUCUCUUCAGUCAAGUCCAUCUUUAGGUUUGAUUCAUGCCACAAAGCACUGGAAUCUGCCACAAAACACAGCCUCUGCAGGGGCCAGCAGCUGCUUCAUGGUCCUUAUCCCCUGGGAAUUGACUGUGUCUCAGUGUGUAAGCUGUCAUGCCCUAUCAACAUCUCAUGCAUCAGCUUUUUCCUGUCUGCUGGUCUGAAGACAUUUCGAUAUCUGUAGGCUCCAGCAACACCUUUGUAUAGUAGUA
This is a long non-coding RNA of Melospiza melodia melodia, 1230 nucleotides long. RefSeq lists it as uncharacterized. Lineage: Eukaryota; Metazoa; Chordata; Aves; Passeriformes; Passerellidae. The transcript is spliced from 3 exons. The record is from RefSeq and is a predicted model, not a curated record.